UCGAACGACACGACGGAAUACUAGAAGUGUUAGUGGCGGACGGGUGAGUAACACGUGAGCACCUACCUCAGAGUGGGGGACAACAGUUGGAAACGACUGCUAAUACCGCAUAAGGUCGCAUGGCAAAAGGAGCAAUGCUCUGAGAUGGGCUCGCGUCUGAUUAGCUAGUUGGUGAGGUAACGGCCCACCAAGGCAACGAUCAGUAGCCGGACUGAGAGGUUGAACGGCCACAUUGGGACUGAGACACGGCCCAGACUCCUACGGGAGGCAGCAGUGGGGAAUAUUGCACAAUGGGGGAAACCCUGAUGCAGCGACGCCGCGUGAGGGAAGACGGUUUUCGGAUUGUAAACCUCUGUCUUGUGGGACGAUAGUGACGGUACCACAGGAGGAAGCCAUGGCUAACUACGUGCCAGCAGCCGCGGUAAUACGUAGAUGGCGAGCGUUGUCCGGAAUUACUGGGUGUAAAGGGAGUGUAGGCGGGCUGGUAAGUUGAAUGUGAAACCUUCGGGCUCAACCCGGAGCGUGCGUUCAAAACUGCUGGUCUUGAGUGAAGUAGAGGCAGGCGGAAUUCCCGGUGUAGCGGUGGAAUGCGUAGAUAUCGGGAGGAACACCAGUGGCGAAGGCGGCCUGCUGGGCUUUUACUGACGCUGAGGCUCGAAAGCAUGGGUAGCAAACAGGAUUAGAUACCCUGGUAGUCCAUGCCGUAAACGAUGAUUACUAG
RNAcentral lists this ribosomal RNA (721 nucleotides) under uncultured bacterium. Its description in RNAcentral is "bacterial SSU rRNA". It matches the Rfam family "Bacterial small subunit ribosomal RNA", at positions 62 to 819 of the family's 1533-position model. The record is from RNAcentral.